This 630-nucleotide long non-coding RNA is filed under the name Canis lupus familiaris (dog). RNAcentral's name for it is "lncRNA (ENSCAFG00000040853.3)". Lineage: Eukaryota; Metazoa; Chordata; Mammalia; Carnivora; Canidae. The record is from RNAcentral.
CAUGUCAACAAGGAUUCUAGCCAUUUCCGAGUGCAUUGAAAAAAUCUGGAGCACCUGGGUGGCUCAGUAGUUGAGCAUCUGCCUUUGGCUCAGGGAAUGAUCCUGGGGUCCUGGGAUCGAGUCCCACAUCGAGCUCCCCACAGGGAGCCUGCUUCUCCCUCUGCCUGUGUCUCUGCCUCUCUCUCUCUCUGUCUCUCAUGAAUAAAGAAAUCUUUAAAAAGAAAAAAUCUCCUUUUCCUCCCCCACCCUCCCAUUCCUCCUACUACAAAGAGGACAAAGCAGUCCUGGCUGGGCUUGAUUGGCAGUGAAUAUAGGACUCCAUCAGGUCACAGUGGGACUGGUGAUCAAUGUGGAGGAGACGGGGCUGAGGAGGAGACGCAAGGAGAUGUCACGCUGUCGGUGGACCAGUCAGCAACAUCUCAGGACCACCACCGGGCUUGAGAUUUGAGAAAAAGGCACUGGGUUUUAGAAGGCAAUCCUACAAAUAUUAAAAUAAACACUUUUUUCCGUUUAUAGCUGGAUGAUCAUGAACACCCUAACUGGCUACAUAAGCGUUGGUCCAGAAGGGGACACACGCACAUGCUUUUGUUUAAAACAACUUAGUUGAGCCAGUUUCUAAAAAUAAAAAUA